AACGAAUUCGCCCUUAGAGUUUGAUCCUGGCUCAGAUUGAACGCUGGCGGCAGGCCUAACACAUGCAAGUCGAGCGUGAAAGUCCUUCGGGAUGAGUAAAGCGGCGGACGGGUGAGUAACGCGUAGGAAUCUACCUAGUAGUGGGGGAUAACGUUCCGAAAGGAACGCUAAUACCGCAUACGUUCUGAGGAAGAAAGCAGGGGAUCGCAAGACCUUGCGCUAUUAGAUGAGCCUGCGUCCGAUUAGCUAGUUGGUGGGGUAAAGGCCUACCAAGGCGACGAUCGGUAACUGGUCUGAGAGGAUGAUCAGUCACACUGGAACUGAGACACGGCCCAGACUCCUACGGGAGGCAGCAGUGGGGAAUCUUGCGCAAUGCGCGAAAGCGUGACGCAGCAACGCCGCGUGGGGGAAGAAGGCCUUCGGGUUAUAAACCCCUUUCAGUUGGGACGAAGCUUCGCCGGUUAAUAGCCGGCUGGAGUGACGGUACCUUCAGAAGAAGCCCCGGCUAACUACGUGCCAGCAGCCGCGGUAAUACGUAGGGGGCUAGCGUUGUCCGGAAUCAUUGGGCGUAAAGCGCGUGUAGGCGGUCCGGUAAGUCCGCUGUGAAAGUCGGGGGCUCAACCCUCGGAUGCCGGUGGAUACUGUCGGGCUUGAGUACGGAAGAGGCGAGUGGAAUUCCUGGUGUAGCGGUGAAAUGCGCAGAUAUCAGGAGGAACACCAAUUGCGAAGGCAGCUCGCUGGGACGUUACUGACGCUGAGACGCGAAAGCGUGGGGAGCAAACAGGAUUAGAUACCCUGGU
This 800-nucleotide ribosomal RNA is filed under the name uncultured bacterium. Its description in RNAcentral is "bacterial SSU rRNA". It matches the Rfam family "Bacterial small subunit ribosomal RNA", at positions 1 to 791 of the family's 1533-position model. The record is from RNAcentral.